AACCGUGGAGGGUCAUUGGAAACUGGGGAACUUGAGUGCAGAAGAGGAAAGUGGAAUUCCACGUGUAGCGAUGAAAUGCGUAGAGAUGCGGAGGAACACCAGUGGCGAUGGCGACUUUCUGGUCUGUAACUGACACUGAGGCGCGAAAGCGUGGGGAGCGAACAGGAUUAGAUACCCUGGUAGUCCACGCCGUAAACGAUGAGUGCUAAGUGUUAGAGGGUUUCCGCCCUUUAGUGCUGCAGCUAACGCAUUAAGCACUCCGCCUGGGGAGUACGGCCGCAAGGCUGAAACUCAAAGGAAUUGACGGGGGCCCGCACAAGCUGUGGAGCAUGUGGUUUAAUUCGAAGCAACGCGAAGAACCUUACCAGGUCUUGACAUCCUCUGACAACCCUAGAGAUAGGGCCUUCCCUUUCGGGGGACAGAGUGACAGGUGGUGCAUGGUUGUCGUCAGCUCGUGUCGUGAGAUGUUGGGUUAAGUCCCGCAACGAGCGCAACCCUUGAUCUUAGUUGCCAGCAUUCAGUUGGGCACUCUAAGGUGACUGCCGGUGACAAACCGGAGGAAGGUGGGGAUGACGUCAAAUCAUCAUGCCCCUUAUGACCUGGGCUACACACGUGCUACAAUGGAUGGUACAAAGAGCCCGCAAACCCGCGAGGGCAAGCUAAUCUCAUAAAGCCAUUCUCAGUUCGGAUUGCAGGCUGCAACUCGCCUGCAUGAAGCCCGGAAUCGCUAGUAAUCGC
Molecule: ribosomal RNA, 738 nt
Filed under: uncultured Bacillus sp.
Lineage: Bacteria; Bacillati; Bacillota; Bacilli; Caryophanales; Bacillaceae
Description: SSU rRNA
Rfam family: Bacterial small subunit ribosomal RNA
Source: RNAcentral